RNAcentral lists this ribosomal RNA (355 nucleotides) under uncultured bacterium. RNAcentral's name for it is "bacterial SSU rRNA". It matches the Rfam family "Bacterial small subunit ribosomal RNA", at positions 78 to 433 of the family's 1533-position model. The record is from RNAcentral.
GCUUGCUGCUUUGCUGACGAGUGGCGGACGGGUGAGUAAUGUCUGGGAAACUGCCCGAUGGAGGGGGAUAACUACUGGAAACGGUAGCUAAUACCGCAUAACGUCGCGAGACCAAAGAGGGGGACCUUCGGGCCUCUUGCCAUCGGAUGUGCCCAGAUGGGAUUAGCUAGUAGGUGGGGUAAAGGCUCACCUAGGCGACGAUCCCUAGCUGGUCUGGGAGGAUGACCAGCCACACUGGAACUGAGACACGGUCCAGACUCCUACGGGAGGCAGCAGUGGGGAAUAUUGCACAAUGGGCGCAAGCCUGAUGCAGCCAUGCCGCGUGUAUGAAGAAGGCCUUCGGGUUGUAAAGUAC